UUCCGUAGGGGUAAUCUGCGGAGGGAUCAUUACCGAGUUUACAACUCCCAAACCCCUGUGAACAUACCACUUGUUGCCUCGGCGGAUCAGCCCGCUCCCGGUAAAACGGGACGGCCCGCCAGAGGACCCCUAAACUCUGUUUCUAUAUGUAACUUCUGAGUAAAACCAUAAAUAAAUCAAAACUUUCAACAACGGAUCUCUUGGUUCUGGCAUCGAUGAAGAACGCAGCAAAAUGCGAUAAGUAAUGUGAAUUGCAGAAUUCAGUGAAUCAUCGAAUCUUUGAACGCACAUUGCGCCCGCCAGUAUUCUGGCGGGCAUGCCUGUUCGAGCGUCAUUUCAACCCUCAAGCACAGCUUGGUGUUGGGACUCGCGUUAAUUCGCGUUCCUCAAAUUGAUUGGCGGUCACGUCGAGCUUCCAUAGCGUAGUAGUAAAACCCUCGUUACUGGUAAUCGUCGCGGCCACGCCGUUAAACCCCAACUUCUGAAUGUGACCUCGGAUCAGGUAGAUCCCAAAUUCA
Molecule: ribosomal RNA, 518 nt
Filed under: Fusarium oxysporum
Lineage: Eukaryota; Fungi; Ascomycota; Sordariomycetes; Hypocreales; Nectriaceae
Description: eukaryotic LSU rRNA
Rfam family: 5.8S ribosomal RNA (bases 181-334)
Source: RNAcentral